GCGGGUGUGGUGGAAUCGGUAGACACACAAGACUUAAAAUCUUGCGAUGGAAACAUCGUGCCGGUUCAAGUCCGGCCACCCGCA
RNAcentral lists this transfer RNA (84 nucleotides) under Reinekea marinisedimentorum. It matches the Rfam family "tRNA". From Rfam's summary of the family: Transfer RNA (tRNA) molecules are approximately 80 nucleotides in length. Their secondary structure includes four short double-helical elements and three loops (D, anti-codon, and T loops). Lineage: Bacteria; Pseudomonadati; Pseudomonadota; Gammaproteobacteria; Oceanospirillales; Saccharospirillaceae. The record is from Rfam by way of RNAcentral.